UACGUAGGGGGCAAGCGUUGUCCGGAUUUAUUGGGCGUAAAGCGCUCGCAGGUGGUUCGAUGCGUCGUGCGUGAAAGACCCCGGCUCAACUGGGGAGUGUCGUGCGAUACGGUCGGACUGGAGGCCAGUAGGGGGAUGCGGAAUUCCGGGUGUAGUGGUGGAAUGCGUAGAGAUCCGGAGGAACACCAGCGGCGAAGGCGGCAUCCUGGACUGGUCCUGACACUCAUGAGCGAAAGCGUGGGGAGCGAACAGG
RNAcentral lists this ribosomal RNA (253 nucleotides) under uncultured bacterium. RNAcentral describes it as "partial 16S ribosomal RNA". It matches the Rfam family "Bacterial small subunit ribosomal RNA", at positions 524 to 776 of the family's 1533-position model. The record is from RNAcentral.